Molecule: ribosomal RNA, 253 nt
Filed under: uncultured bacterium
Lineage: Bacteria
Description: partial 16S ribosomal RNA
Rfam family: Bacterial small subunit ribosomal RNA
Source: RNAcentral
UACGGAGGGUGCAAGCGUUAUCCGGAUUUACUGGGUUUAAAGGGUGCGUAGGUGGAUUUGUAAGUCAGUGGUGAAAUCUCCGAGCUUAACUCGGAAACUGCCAUUGAUACUAUAAGUCUUGAAUUAUCUGGAGGUAAGCGGAAUAUGUCAUGUAGCGGUGAAAUGCUUAGAUAUGACAUAGAACACCAAUUGCGAAGGCAGCUUACUACACAGUUAUUGACGCUGAGGCACGAAAGCGUGGGGAUCAAACAGG